UGGGGAAUAUUGGACAAUGGGCGGAAGCCUGAUCCAGCCAUGCCGCGUGAGUGAAGAAGGUCUUCGGAUGGUAAAGCACCUUAAGUUGGGAGGAAGGGCAGUAAGCGAAUACCUUGCUGUUUUGACGUUACCGACAGAAUAAGCACCGGCUAACUCUGUGCCAGCAGCCGCGGUAAUACAGAGGGUGCAAGCGUUAAUCGGAAUUACUGGGCGUAACUCGCGCGUAGGUGGUUCGUUAAGUUGAAUGUGAAAGCCCCGGGCUCAACCUGGGAACUGCAUCCAAAACUGGCGAGCUGGGGUAGGGCAGAGGGUGGUGGAAUUUCCUGUGUAGCGGUGAGAUGCGUAGGUAUAGGAAGGAACACCAGUGGCGAAUGCAGCCACCUGGGCUCUUACUGACACUGAGGUGCGAUAGCGUGGGGAGCAAACAGG
RNAcentral lists this ribosomal RNA (429 nucleotides) under Pseudomonadota bacterium. Its description in RNAcentral is "Proteobacteria bacterium partial 16S ribosomal RNA". It matches the Rfam family "Bacterial small subunit ribosomal RNA", at positions 355 to 776 of the family's 1533-position model. The record is from RNAcentral. Lineage: Bacteria; Pseudomonadati; Pseudomonadota.